GCCAGCAUGGUUUAGUGGUAUGAGCAUUGGACUAUGAAUCUGGAGACCAGGGUUCGAAUCCCGGCUUCACCA
Molecule: transfer RNA, 72 nt
Filed under: Phrynosoma platyrhinos (Desert horned lizard)
Lineage: Eukaryota; Metazoa; Chordata; Lepidosauria; Squamata; Phrynosomatidae
Description: tRNA-OTHER
Source: RNAcentral